Molecule: long non-coding RNA, 342 nt
Organism: Oreochromis aureus
Lineage: Eukaryota; Metazoa; Chordata; Actinopteri; Cichliformes; Cichlidae
Source: Ensembl
CUGCGCUGCGCGGACCUGCAAGGAGGAGAGGAGGAUGGCAGCAAAAAGGAAGAACCUGAAUAUAAGAAAGUAUUUUUCAAAGAAACCUCGGAGCGACCAGCAGCUGUGAAGAAUUCUGAAGGUGCGCACAUUCUGGUUCCUGCAAAGCACAGACAGAAAGAAUGGAUUGGGAGCAGUCUCACGCUGAAAUCAAGAUCAACACUCCACAGAGCGACAGAUGAAUGAAGAGCAGAAGCCAGAUGGUAUACCAGAGAACUGACAGUAUGGAUUUUCCCUCACAAUGCAGUCACAUCUAAAAGUCUCUGUGAUACACACUCACUGGUCACCGGAGUCGGUUUGAAC